CAGUCGCCGCGGUAAUACGAAGGGGGCUAGCGUUGUUCGGAAUUACUGGGCGUAAAGCGCACGUAGGCGGAUAUUUAAGUCAGGGGUGAAAUCCCAGAGCUCAACUCUGGAACUGCCUUUGAUACUGGGUAUCUUGAGUAUGGAAGAGGUGAGUGGAACUCCGAGUGUAGAGGUGAAAUUCGUAGAUAUUCGGAGGAACACCAGUGGCGAAGGCGGCUCACUGGUCCAUUACUGACGCUGAGGUGCGAAAGCGUGGGGAGCAAACAGGAUUAGAUACCCGAGUAGUCCCUGUCUCUUAUAC
RNAcentral lists this ribosomal RNA (301 nucleotides) under uncultured bacterium. RNAcentral describes it as "partial 16S ribosomal RNA". It matches the Rfam family "Bacterial small subunit ribosomal RNA", at positions 509 to 807 of the family's 1533-position model. The record is from RNAcentral.